Molecule: transfer RNA, 24 nt
Filed under: Cyrtodactylus cf. condorensis
Lineage: Eukaryota; Metazoa; Chordata; Lepidosauria; Squamata; Gekkonidae
Description: partial tRNA-Cys
Source: RNAcentral
GAUGUGCCGGGGCUUCUCCCGUUU